Molecule: small nucleolar RNA, 101 nt
Filed under: Thalictrum thalictroides
Lineage: Eukaryota; Viridiplantae; Streptophyta; Magnoliopsida; Ranunculales; Ranunculaceae
Description: Plant small nucleolar RNA R71
Rfam family: Plant small nucleolar RNA R71
About the family: R71 is a member of the C/D box family of snoRNAs containing the C (UGAUGA) and D (CUGA) box motifs. Multiple nearly identical copies of this snoRNA have been identified in Arabidopsis, and it is thought to function as a 2'-O-ribose methylation guide for 18S ribosomal RNA.
Source: Rfam by way of RNAcentral
AUUUGAUGAUGUGGACAUUGAAUUUGUCCCAAAUCAUUCCCAAGCUUCGAAGAAUUCCUCCGUAUGCUUUUGUCUAAAAGUUUGGAUCUUGUUUCUUAACU